Peromyscus eremicus (cactus mouse) is the source of this 639-nucleotide long non-coding RNA. RefSeq lists it as uncharacterized. NCBI's taxonomy places the organism in Eukaryota, Metazoa, Chordata, Mammalia, Rodentia, Cricetidae. The record is from RefSeq and is a predicted model, not a curated record. The transcript is spliced from 2 exons.
CGCGCUCCCGGGCUCAGCCGCCCACCCAACGGGGCCAAGCGCCCCCGCCGCGCCUGCGCACACCCGCAAACUGACGUGCUAGCGCCGGCAGGGCAGGGCCGGUGCGGGCGACGCGCCCAAGGAGGCCGGCGUGGAGCAGCGGGGUAUGGUACUCCGCCUUUGAGCAACCGCCAGGCUCAAACAUGGGAGUUCAAAAUUAAAAUACAACUGGUGUACAAGAAAGUAAACAGGAGUGAAAGAGAAGAAACCAUGAGGGAGUGCUGUAUUUACACUACAUUUUAUAGACAACUAUCCCAUUACAUCCCAGUUUGAGCCCUGGCCCUGAAAGUGAACGGGUGGCAGGUUCACCGGACAGAGAUUUUGUCUAUAGAUCCAGCCUCCCCGACCCAGCUGUAAGGGGUCUAAUUCAAGUCCAUGGAGCAGGAAGGACAGAGUAGAAGACACUCAUUUCCAAACAAGUCUCCCUUGGGAAAUCCGGCCUGGAAGAGGCUGAAGACUCUGAGUCUCAGUUCCCAAGUAACGUCAGAAGUUCCAGCCUCCAAGAGUGACGUCAGGGUUCUCCCGAUUUGGGAAGACCCCCUAACCGCCGGGCCUCUGGCCGAAGUUCCUUGCAUUUCUGGCAAUAAAAGAAGUCAGGAA